ACGAACGCUGGCGGCGUGCUUAACACAUGCAAGUCGAACGGAGAUUUAAGAGGAAGCUUGCGAAUCUUAAAUCUUAGUGGCGGACGGGUGAGUAACACGUGGAUAACCUGCCUGUAAGACCGGGACAACACCUGGAAACGGGUGCUAAUACCGGGUAAGCUCUUAAUGCUGCAUGGUGAGAAGAGGAGAGGGGAAACCCGCUUACAGAUGGAUCCGCGGCCCAUUAGCUAGUUGGCGGUGUAACGGACCACCAAGGCGACGAUGGGUAGCCGGCCUGAGAGGGUGAUCGGCCACACUGGAACUGAGACACGGUCCAGACUCCUACGGGAGGCAGCAGUGGGGAAUCUUCCGCAAUGGGCGAAAGCCUGACGGAGCAACGCCGCGUGAAUGAUGAAGGCCUUCGGGUUGUAAAAUUCUGUCUUCAGGGAAGAAAAAAAUGACGGUACCUGAGGAGGAAGCCCCGGCUAACUACGU
Molecule: ribosomal RNA, 474 nt
Filed under: uncultured bacterium
Lineage: Bacteria
Description: bacterial SSU rRNA
Rfam family: Bacterial small subunit ribosomal RNA
Source: RNAcentral